AAUAUUGCACAAUGGGGGAAACCCUGAUGCAGCUAUGCCGCGUGUGUGAAGAAGGCCUUCGGGUUGUAAAGCACUUUCAGUAGUAAGGAAAGGUAAGUGAUUAAUACUCGCUUACUGUGACGUUUGCUACAGAAGAAGCACCGGCUAACUCCGUGCCAGCAGCCGCGGUAAUACGGAGGGUGCAAGCGUUAAUCGGAAUAACUGGGCGUAAAGCGCACGCAGGCGGUUUGUUAAGCCAGAUGUGAAAGCCCGGGGCUCAACCUCGGAACUGCAUUUGGAACUGGCAGACUAGAGUCUUGUAGAGGGGGGUAGAAUUUCCAGUGUAGCGGUGAAAUGCGUAGAGAUUGGAAGGAAUACCAGUGGCGAAGGCGGCCCCCUGGACAAAGACUGACGCUCAGGUGCGAAAGCGUGGGGAGCAAACA
RNAcentral lists this ribosomal RNA (422 nucleotides) under uncultured bacterium. Its description in RNAcentral is "partial 16S ribosomal RNA". It matches the Rfam family "Bacterial small subunit ribosomal RNA", at positions 360 to 774 of the family's 1533-position model. The record is from RNAcentral.